UAGCCUCUCCAGGGGAGUAACUGAAUCUCGUUUAAUUUUGUUUCCUUAGCUCCAGGAAAGGAAUUCACAUCAAGUAGACACCUAAGGAAAUGAGCAUUGGAGUGACACUCAAAGAGCCCUGAGACAGGGAGACGUGGAAAACAGAUGUGCAUUUGGAGGUGAAAGAAGCUGAAAAAUCGUUGCUGGCAGUGCUGUUCCUGGAAGGGAGACGAAGGCGGGAAGACACAUUUGGGUUACAGGAAGAGGCGGCCCCUCAUGCAGCAUCUUCAGUCUAUAAGGGCCCAGGGCUCUGCACUGAAAGCACUAAUUGGAUUUCAUUAAAGCGAAAUAGAUUUCCUAGCACUGGAAGAGCCAGUUCAUUAAUUUCACACAUGCUCUACUGGAGGAAGGCAUGGGGAAGGGCAGCCAGCCCCAGUCUCCCCAGGCUAAGAUCAGAGCUGGGAGCCCGCUGCAGUUUGGUGCGGAGCCUGGAUUCUGAGCACCUGCUCCAAGCCAGUGCCUGGGCUGGCCAUCGGGGGUGCAGUGAUGAACCAGAUACAACCACCGCCUCCGGUAACUCGGUCUUGGAGGAGGCAGCCACACAAGGCAGGGCGUGCACAGUGUCAGGGUGCUGGACAAGGAUGUGUUCCAGGUACUGGACAUCCAGUGGAGCAGACCGACCUGGUGCUGGAGCUGAGAAGAGUGGUCUGGGCCGGAAUUUUAAAUUGGGGACAUUUGAACAUAUAAAAGAUGGUCAAUGCCCCGGUCCGGAGGACGUCACCAGGGGAGAGAGUAGGAGGAGCGGGGUCAUCUUAGUUCUUUCUUCCUCUCAGAGCAAGAAUUCCUUCCACACCUUCCACUGACAGGUGGCUCCCCAGCCCCUGCUUGCAUGCUCCAAUGACAGGGAGCUCACUACCAGCCAAGCCAGUCCUGCCUGCUUUUGGAAGUUCUGGCUGUUAGUUAAAUUCUUUUGUAUGCGGACCAAAGUCUCCCUUCCCUUUUGAUUUUACUCCUUUGUUCUGAUUCCAUCUUCUGGAGACCCGGCCCAUCCAGUCGGCUCCCUCUUUGCCAUAAUCUGCUAGAACCCACAGAUGUGGUUCACCACACCUUCCUUCUUCUCCGAUAGUGGGGCCCUGGGUUUCUUCUGAGGGUACCGCACCGUCCCCACUGCCGUCUCCCAUCCCAGGAAGCGACAAAGUCUUGUUUUAACUUCUGAACUGUGGCCUUAGAGACCAGAAGAGGGGACACUUAAAACUAAGAGACUUCCCUUCUGUGUCUUUAUUAAACACACCCAGUUCCUUCUGCCACUCUUAGCUGCCUCAGUGGCUACCCCAGAUAUUUUUGUCUCUGGGUUGGGGUCUCCACG
This is a long non-coding RNA of Leopardus geoffroyi (Geoffroy's cat), 1345 nucleotides long. RefSeq lists it as uncharacterized. The record is from RefSeq and is a predicted model, not a curated record. The transcript is spliced from 3 exons. Lineage: Eukaryota; Metazoa; Chordata; Mammalia; Carnivora; Felidae.